Molecule: unclassified non-coding RNA, 408 nt
Filed under: uncultured Funneliformis
Lineage: Eukaryota; Fungi; Glomeromycota; Glomeromycetes; Glomerales; Glomeraceae
Description: sequence contains 28S rRNA gene
Source: RNAcentral
AGUUAAACAGUACGUGAAAUUGUUGAAAGGGAAACGAUUGAAGUCAGUCAUACCAACGGGAAAUCAACCUUUUGAGCUUGGUCUCGUGGGUUUUGAAGAGUUUCAAAGCCUUCGGAUUCGCGGGAUUGGGAUCUCUUGGUGUACUUUUUCGUUCGGUUAGUCAACAUCGGUUUUGAAUGUCAUAAAAUGACUGGAGGAAUGUAGCUUCGAUCUCGUAUUGAAGUGUUAUAGCCUUUGGUAGAUGUGAUGUUUGAGACCGAGGAUUGCAACGGAUACCCUUCAGGGCUAUUCGUCUGAUCUCUGAUACGUUGCCUUGAUGUUGAAAGCUUGCUUAUGAUGUUAGGGUAUUACGGUCAAAAGGUUAGAACGAAUUACAUUCGUUAAGGAUGUUGACGUAAUGACUUUAAA